Molecule: ribosomal RNA, 424 nt
Filed under: Verrucomicrobiota bacterium
Lineage: Bacteria; Pseudomonadati; Verrucomicrobiota
Description: Verrucomicrobia bacterium partial 16S ribosomal RNA
Rfam family: Bacterial small subunit ribosomal RNA
Source: RNAcentral
UGAGGAAUAUUGGUCAAUGGGCGAGAGCCUGAACCAGCCAAGUAGCGUGCAGGACGACGGCCCUAUGGGUUGUAAACUGCUUUUAUGUGGGGAUAAAGUGCGUGACGUGUCAUGCAUUGCAGGUACCACAUGAAUAAGGACCGGCUAAUUCCGUGCCAGCAGCCGCGGUAAUACGGAAGGUCCGGGCGUUAUCCGGAUUUAUUGGGUUUAAAGGGAGCGUAGGCUGUCUAUUAAGCGUGUUGUGAAAUUUACCGGCUCAACCGGUGGCUUGCAGCGCGAACUGGUCGACUUGAGUAUCCAGGAAGUAGGCGGAAUUCAUGGUGUAGCGGUGAAAUGCUUAGAUAUCAUGACGAACUCCGAUUGCGCAGGCAGCUUACUGUAGCAUAACUGACGCUGAUGCUCGAAAGUGCGGGUAUCAAACAGG